ACGCCUAACACAUGCAAGUCGAGCGAGAACUUCGGUUCUAGCGGCGGACGGGUGAGUAACACGUGAGCAACCUGCCUUUCAGAGGGGGACAACAGUUGGAAACGACUGCUAAUACCGCAUAAUGUCAUUUGGCGGCAUCGUUGAAUGACCAAAGGAGCAAUCCGCUGAAAGAUGGGCUCGCGUCCAAUUAGAUAGUUGGUGGGGUAACGGCCUACCAAGUCGACGAUUGGUAGCCGGACUGAGAGGUUGAACGGCCACAUUGGGACUGAGAUACGGCCCAGACUCCUACGGGAGGCAGCAGUGGGGGAUAUUGCACAAUGGAGGAAACUCUGAUGCAGCGAUGCCGCGUGAGGGAAGAAGGUUUUCGGAUUGUAAACCUCUGUGGAGCGGGACGAUAAUGACGGUACCGCUCAAGGAAGCCACGGCUAACUACGAGCCAGCAGCCGCGGUAAUACGGGGGAUACGAGCGUUAUCCGGAUUUAUUGGGUUUAAAGGGUGCGCAGGCGGAUCGGUAAGUCAAGGGUGAAAAGUCCGGGCUCAACUUGGACCGUGCCUUUGAUACUGCCGGACUAGAGAGCGAUAGGCGUGGCUGGAAUGUGACGUGUAGCGGUGAAAUGCUUAGAUAUGUCACAGAACACCGAUCGAGAAGUCAGGUCACGAGUUCGCAACUGACGCUCAUGCACGAAAGCGUGGGGAUCAAACAGGAUUAGAUGCCCUGGUAGUCCACGCUGUAAACGAUGAUCACUCGUUGUUGGGCGGCGACGUUCAGCGGCCAAGCGAAAGCGAUAAGUGAUCCACCUGGGGAGUACGAUCGCAAGGUUGAAACUCAAAGGAAUUGACGGGGGCCCGCACAAGCGGAGGAGCAUGUGGUUUAAUUCGAUGAUACGCGAGGAACCUUACCCGGGCUUGAACGUAAGACGAAUGCCGAGGAAACCCGGCAGCCUACGGGCGUCUUGCGAGGUGCUGCAUGGUUGUCGUCAGCUCGUGCCGUGAGGUGUUAGGUUAAGUCCCGCAACGAGCGCAACCCCUAUUGUUAGUUGCUACGCAAGAGCACUCUAGCGAGACUGCCGUUGACAAAACGGAGGAAGGUGGGGACGACGUCAAAUCAUCAUGCCCCUUAUAUCCUGGGCUACACACGUAAUACAAUGGCGGUCAACAGAGGGAUGCAAAGCCGCGAGGCAGAGCGAACCCCUAAAAGCCGUCCCAGUUCGGAUCGUGGGCUGCAACCCGCCCACGUGAAGUCGGAAUCGCUAGUAAUCGCGGAUCAGCAUGCCGCGGUGAAUACGUUCCCGGGCCUU
RNAcentral lists this ribosomal RNA (1298 nucleotides) under uncultured bacterium. RNAcentral describes it as "partial 16S ribosomal RNA". It matches the Rfam family "Bacterial small subunit ribosomal RNA", at positions 44 to 1382 of the family's 1533-position model. The record is from RNAcentral.